This 64-nucleotide transfer RNA is filed under the name Trigonopterus selaruensis. RNAcentral's name for it is "tRNA-Tyr". It matches the Rfam family "tRNA". Rfam says of the family: Transfer RNA (tRNA) molecules are approximately 80 nucleotides in length. Their secondary structure includes four short double-helical elements and three loops (D, anti-codon, and T loops). The record is from RNAcentral. Lineage: Eukaryota; Metazoa; Arthropoda; Insecta; Coleoptera; Curculionidae.
GGUAAGAUGGCUGAGAUUUAAGCGGUAAAUUGUAAAUUUACAGACGAAUAGUUUUCUUUUACCA